ACGCUGGCGGCGUGCCUAAUACAUGCAAGUCGAACGAGAGCGACCGGUGCUUGCACUGGUCAAUCUAGUGGCGAACGGGUGAGUAACACGUGGGUAACCUGCCCAUCAGAGGGGGAUAACAUUCGGAAACGGAUGCUAAAACCGCAUAGGUCUUCGAACCGCAUGGUUUGAAGAGGAAAAGAGGCGCAAGCUUCUGCUGAUGGAUGGACCCGCGGUGCAUUAGCUAGUUGGUGAGGUACGGCUCACCAAGGCCGUGAUGCAUAGCCGACCUGAGAGGGUGAUCGGCCACAUUGGGACUGAGACACGGCCCAAACUCCUACGGGAGGCAGCAGUAGGGAAUCUUCCGCAAUGGACGCAAGUCUGACGGAGCAACGCCGCGUGAGUGAAGAAGGUUUUCGGAUCGUAAAACUCUGUCGUUAGAGAAGAACAAGUGCUAGAGUAACUGUUAGCGCCUUGACGGUAUCUAACCAGAAAGCCACGGCUAACUACGUGCCAGCAGCCGCGGUAAUACGUAGGUGGCAAGCGUUGUCCGGAUUUAUUGGGCGUAAAGCGAGCGCAGGCGGUUUCUUAAGUCUGAUGUGAAAGCCCCCGGCUCAACCGGGGAGGGUCAUUGGAAACUGGGGAACUUGAGUGCAGAAGAGGAGAGUGGAAUUCCAUGUGUAGCGGUGAAAUGCGUAGAUAUAUGGAGGAACACCAGUGGCGAAGGCGACUCUCUGGUCUGUAACUGACGCUGAGGCUCGAAAGCGUGGGUAGCAAACAGGAUUAGAUACCCUGGUAGUCCACGCCGUAAACGAUGAGUGCUAAGUGUUGGAGGGUUUCCGCCCUUCAGUGCUGCAGUUAACGCAUUAAGCACUCCGCCUGGGGAGUACGACCGCAAGGUUGAAACUCAAAGGAAUUGACGGGGACCCGCACAAGCGGU
This 919-nucleotide ribosomal RNA is filed under the name uncultured bacterium. RNAcentral's name for it is "bacterial SSU rRNA". It matches the Rfam family "Bacterial small subunit ribosomal RNA", at positions 33 to 933 of the family's 1533-position model. The record is from RNAcentral.